This 1469-nucleotide long non-coding RNA is filed under the name Homo sapiens (human). RNAcentral describes it as "B3GALT5 antisense RNA 1 (B3GALT5-AS1)". The record is from RNAcentral. Lineage: Eukaryota; Metazoa; Chordata; Mammalia; Primates; Hominidae.
GACGCGGCGGGCGGCUCCGGGAGGCGACGGGACCCCCAGGCCGGCAGCCGAGUGAAGAGGCAGGAACUGUCUACAAAUGCUCCGGCUCCGAAGCCCCGAGGGAAAGAGCAUCUUUCACGGAGCACCAGGAAUUGACGACGGUGGAAUUUGCUCAGAUCCCCUGAGGCCGGUUCUUUGAGUUUCUGUCUGGCCCUCCGGGAGAACCGUCCCAAAGUUAACUUUGAAAACACUCACAGGAGAGGGAAGGCUGUGGGGUCCUUCGCUUCUCAAACCCCAGAUGCCCCCGGAAAGAACACCGCCCCCGACCACCACCACAACCAGAUGUUUUUAAAAAGAGAUGCUAAGCAAAAGGCCUGAUUAUGAGGAAUGAGCCAAAGUCAUGCAAGGCGUGGGGCGCUAUGGGACUGCGCAGUGACGACCCAGUGAAGUAGAUGCCUUGACGAUUCCCAUUUCACGGAUGAGACGACUCCGGCACAGAGAAGUCAGAGGGCCUGUCCUGGGUCACACAGCCACAGGCGGCCCCCAGAACGGGACUUCAGGGUGCACCACUGCACCCCAGCAGAGACCUCCGCCUGGCACACAGGGAAUGCUGGAGCAAUACUUAAAUAGGGGAGGUCAGAAAUCUCACGGGCUCUGCUGGCUUCUGUGCUUCGUCUCUCAAGGCCAAAAUCAAGAUGUCAUCAGUGCUGAGCUCUGGUGCAGGAUCCACGUCCAGGCUCACUGGGGCUGCUGGCAGAAUUCAGCUGUGUGGGGUUGUAGGAAUGAAGUCCUUGUUUCCUUGCUGGCUGUUGGCCAGGGGCUGCCCUCAGCUUCUGGAGGCCGCCUGCCCUCCCUGGUUCAUGGCCCAUCUCAUCCUGACAGCCAGCACCCGCGGGAAGUCCCUCUUGCACUGUGACUCUCUCCCGCCUCUUCCAUUCUCUAUGGCUUGUCUGCCUCCCUCUUUCAUCUUUAAGAGUGCAUGUGAGUAUAUUGGACCUACCUGAAUCAGCCAGGCUAACCUCCCCAUUUUAAGGUCUGCAGCCUUAAUUCUACCUGCAAAGUCCCUUUUGCCAUGUAAUGUGCCAUAUUCACAGGUGUCAGGAAUCAGAGGGCAGGUAUAUUGGGGGACCAUUAUUCUGCCAACUACACAGGGCCUUAUAUGGUCUGGCUCUGUGUCCCCAUUCAAAUCUCAUCUUGAAUUGUAAUCCGAAUUGUAACCCCCACGUGUUGGGGGGAGGGACCUUGUGGGAGGUAAUUAAAUCAUGGGGGCGGUUACCCUCAUGCUGUUCUUGUGAUAGUGAGUGAGUUCUCACGAGAUCUGAAGGUUUUGCAAGGAGCUUUUCCCCCUUUUGCUCAGGACUCUCCUUCCUGCAGCCAAGUGAAGGACAAGUUUGCUUCCCCUUCCACAAUGAUUGUAAGUUUCUUGAGGCCUCUCCAGAACUAUGAGUCAAUUAAACCUCUUUCCUUUAUAAAAAAAAAAAAAAAAAAAA